CUCUCUUAGUGCAGACUGAUAAAUGCACAUGCGUUAAUACAUGCAGAUGCGUUAAAGCAUGUUUCUAAGGAGCUAUGUCAAUCUCCCAUGGCCUCCCUCUUGCUGUAUAACGUUAAGAACAGCAAUAAUCACUACAAGUUGAUUGGAUUGUAUUUCUGGUACUAUAGAACAAGUUGUUUCUGAACAAGUUCAUUUUGAUCUCUAGUCUCAUCGACCUUGAUUGGAUUGUAUGGAUGGUAUCCUUAUUCUGUUUUCUGUCCAAAACGCAGAACAAUUCUCUCAGUCUUUUCAUAUCUCUCAGCUAAAGCAAAUUCAAGAAUCUCCCUUGUUCAAAGGAUAAAUAAAAGAUGGGGGAGAUUGUUGUGGGAAUUCUUGAUAGAAUAGAAACGUGCAGCAUAAGUCUGUAUGGGAGAUUGCAAAGCCUUCUAGUUCUUUUAGUUUGUAUCAGUUCGUUUGGUUUCCAGUGAAAUAGAUAUGUUUUCAUCUGUUUAGGUUUCCUGCUAUGUAUUCCUUCAUCUCAAAUUCUCAUAAUCUCAAUUGCAUCUCUCUUACUGUAAA
Molecule: long non-coding RNA, 558 nt
Organism: Rosa rugosa (rugosa rose)
Lineage: Eukaryota; Viridiplantae; Streptophyta; Magnoliopsida; Rosales; Rosaceae
Exons: 2
Source: RefSeq, a predicted model, not a curated record